This is a long non-coding RNA of Papaver somniferum (opium poppy), 219 nucleotides long. RefSeq lists it as uncharacterized. The record is from RefSeq and is a predicted model, not a curated record. The transcript has 3 exons. Lineage: Eukaryota; Viridiplantae; Streptophyta; Magnoliopsida; Ranunculales; Papaveraceae.
UCUAUGUCUACAAAGACAGUUGAGGCAUUGCUCUGUACAUAAAGCUAUUUACAAAAACCCAUUGCUCUUGAUCUUCUAUGUGAUUAUGUACCUGAUGAUGAUGGUGAAGAUGCGGCAGUCAUAAUUGAGAAUUUCCUAAAAGAUUGAAGUUUAUUUCUUGGCUCCUUGGCUCGUUGCUAAGAAAUGGAAGGCUAGGAUUGCAAAUUGCAAGUGCAGGCU